CUCUAAGUAAUCUUAGCACAAAACUAGGUAAUAAUCUUUCCUCUUUUCACACAUUCUUGGAUUAGAAGAAGACAUAUGACAAGAGAAAUGGCAGUCUCCAAAAUAAUGAGUGUAGAAUAUCCCUUAAGAAUUUAUUUCAGAGAUUUUCUCAAAUGUGUGUCCCAAUAUGACCCAGUUCUAAACACCUUCUUACUUUUUGUGUUAUUUUAAUUCUUGGAAAGUACACCACACAUUACUGAACUGCCAGAUUAGAAGCAGGCAUGAGACAAGUUGAAUGAUAAUGUAGUCUUUCCAACUUGAAGUUCACUCUCUUUUUAUAAGCAGAAAUUUAAAUAACCUUACAGACUUUUCUGUCCCUUUCUCUUUCUUGGCACCUGUACUCUCUCUUCCCAAGGAUCCAAGUUGCUCAGGUUUAGGUUGAAGAAGCAAAACCAUUCCAUUUCUUGUGUUGUCUCUGAAUUAACCUAAUGGGUUGAGUAACCAUAAAACUGAUUGCUUAAACUGAGCCAUUUUGCGUGAAAUGGGGACAUGAUCAAGAUUAUGUGGUAUAAUGGACAUAAACAGGCAUUUCCCUGGACAUAGUGGACUGUGGUCACUGCUUGUACAGCAAGACAAGGUUUAGUCUAUCUCUGAGAGCAUCUUUUUGGAUCAAAUCUAAUUGUCUGUAAACACAUGAAAAAGAGUGACGUGAUGAUGUUCAGAAUUUUCAGAGGUAGAAUGUGUAAACAUUUGGGACUGAAUGUGUAAACUGAGUUGUGAGUAUUUCAGACUCACUAUAAUUUCAUGGAAAGCUAGAUAAAAUGAAGAUGAAUAUAGAGAUGAUUGCUUCAUUUUUUUUUCUUUUUUUGGCCACACCAGGGAGUUUGUGGGAACCAGGGAUUGAAUCUGUGUUCCCUGAAGAGGAGUGCAGAAUCUUAACUGCUGGACUGCCAGGGAAGUCCCACUUAAGGUUUUUUAAUGUUUAUUUCAGAAUCCAGAGGUGCUGAUUCAGUGUCAUGUCCAAGUACAUUUCCUCAGGACGUUGAUGAGGUUAAAGUGCAGAAUGACUGUAGAAAGAAGCAAGAAAAUACAGCAAACAUGCAGAGAAGCAGCACCAAGACCAUGUGGCUCCUUGAGAAAUUGAGUCCUGUGCUUCCAGAUUUUCCGGUCUUUAUCUGCAGGGUUGACACUCAUCCAAGCAAGAGGGACUCCUGCCAUGAACCCUUUAAAGCACCUGGGCUCCACAGAUCACAAACUCAUGAGAAAAGUCUCUGUCCAAGAGAUUUUCCAGGGCCAAGAUAUUUGAAAGAUAAAUGUCUAGAGCCCCUCUCGUGACUCAGUGGUGGAGAAUCCACUUGCCAAUGCAGGAGAUACGGGUUUGAUUCCUGAUUUGGGAAGAUCCACGUGCCACAGAGCAACUAAAACUCGUGCAUCACAACUAUUGAGCCUGUGCUCUAAAGCCAGGGAGCCACAACAACUGAAGCCCGUGUGCCUAGAAAUUGUGCUCCACAAGAGAAGCCAGCACAAUGCAAAGACUGCACACCACAACUCAAGAGUCGCUCCCGCUCACCUCAACUAGAGAAUAGCCCGCGCGGCAACGAAGACCUAGGACAGACAAAAAUAAGACAAUAAACUUCUUAAAAAUGAUAAAUGCUUUGACUCU
This 1642-nucleotide long non-coding RNA is filed under the name Bos indicus x Bos taurus (hybrid cattle). RNAcentral describes it as "lncRNA (ENSBIXG00000003810.1)". The record is from RNAcentral. Lineage: Eukaryota; Metazoa; Chordata; Mammalia; Artiodactyla; Bovidae.